UACGGAGGAUCCGAGCGUUAUCCGGAUUUAUUGGGUUUAAAGGGUGCGCAGGCGGGAAAUUAAGUCGGCGGUGAAAUUUUGCAGCUCAACUGUAAAAGUGCCUUUGAAACUGGUUUCCUUGAGUGUAGAUGAAGUAGGCGGAAUUUGUGGUGUAGCGGUGAAAUGCGUAGAUAUCAGGAGGAACACCGGCGGCGAAGGCGGCUUGCUGGACGGCAACUGACGCUUAAGCGCGAAAGCUAGGGUAGCGAACGGGAUUAGAUACCCCCGUAGUCCCUGAGCGGGCU
Molecule: ribosomal RNA, 284 nt
Filed under: uncultured prokaryote
Description: partial 16S ribosomal RNA
Rfam family: Bacterial small subunit ribosomal RNA
Source: RNAcentral